UAUGUGAUCGUCUCUCGCAUAUCAAUAAGCGGAGGAAAAGAAACUAACAAGGAUUCCCCUAGUAACGGCGAGUGAAGCGGGAAGAGCUCGAAUUUGAAAUCUUAAAGGGUUUCCCUUUACGAAUUGUAGUUUAAAGAAGUGUUUUCUGUUGAGGUUUUGGUAAAAGUUCUUUGGAAUAGGACAUCAUAGAGGGUGAGAAUCCCGUAUUUGACCUUUACUUUCAACUUUGUGAUACACUUUCAAAGAGUCGGAUUGUUUAGGAAUGCAGUCCAAAAUGGGUGGUAAAUUUCAUCUAAAGCUAAAUAUUGGCGAGAGACCGAUAGCGAACAAGUACCGUGAGGGAAAGAUGAAAAGAACUUUGAAAAGAGAGUUAAACAGUACGUGAAAUUGUCAAAAGGGAAGCGUUUGACACCAGUGUUGUUUUUCUGAAAAUCAAUUAAAGAACUGUUUAUGCUAAGCUGUUUAGACUUUAUCAGCUAAUCUGUUUAGUUUUGAGCUUUUCUUUAAUGCACUUUUCAGUUAACAAGUCAACAUCAAUUUCUUUUGCUGUAAAAAAGCUUGAGGAAGGUGGCUUGAGAUUCGUCUUAAGUGUUUAUAGCCUCUUGCCUAUGCAGUCGGAGAGAUUGAGGUCUGCAGCGUAGAUCCUUCGGGGCUAAAUGCAUUUGUGCUAAGUUAUAGCAUUUUAUAGACAACUUGUUGACUAUGAUUUGUCUUGUAGCUUACUCGCUUAUGUUAUUUUACCUACGCUUAGGAUGUUGAUCUACAGAGCGAGAGU
This 775-nucleotide ribosomal RNA is filed under the name uncultured Neocallimastigales. RNAcentral describes it as "partial large subunit ribosomal RNA". It matches the Rfam family "Eukaryotic large subunit ribosomal RNA", at positions 24 to 635 of the family's 3401-position model. The record is from RNAcentral. Lineage: Eukaryota; Fungi; Neocallimastigomycota; Neocallimastigomycetes; Neocallimastigales.